GGUGCGUAACGCGUAUGCAAUCUACCUUUUACAGAGGGAUAGCCCAGAGAAAUUUGGAUUAAUACCUCAUAGUAUAAUUGAAUGGCAUCAUUUAAUUAUUAAAGUCACAACGGUAAAAGAUGAGCAUGCGUCCCAUUAGCUAGUUGGUAAGGUAACGGCUUACCAAGGCUACGAUGGGUAGGGGUCCUGAGAGGGAGAUCCCCCACACUGGUACUGAGACACGGACCAGACUCCUACGGGAGGCAGCAGUGAGGAAUAUUGGACAAUGGGCGCAAGCCUGAUCCAGCCAUGCCGCGUGCAGGAUGACGGUCCUAUGGAUUGUAAACUGCUUUUGUACAGGAAGAAACACUGGUUCGUGAACCAGCUUGACGGUACUGUAAGAAUAAGGAUCGGCUAACUCCGUGCCAGCAGCCGCGGUAAUACGGAGGAUCCAAGCGUUAUCCGGAAUCAUUGGGUUUAAAGGGUCCGUAGGCGGUUUGGUAAGUCAGUGGUGAAAGCCCAUCGCUCAACGGUGGAACGGCCAUUGAUACUGCUAGACUUGAAUUAUUAGGAAGUAACUAGAAUAUGUAGUGUAGCGGUGAAAUGCUUAGAGAUUACAUGGAAUACCAAUUGCGAAGGCAGGUUACUACUAAUAUAUUGACGCUGAUGGACGAAAGCGUGGGUAGCGAACAGGAUUAGAUACCCUGGUAGUCCACGCCGUAAACGAUGGAUACUAGCUGUUGGGCGCAAGUUCAGUGGCUAAGCGAAAGUGAUAAGUAUCCCACCUGGGGAGUACGUUC
Molecule: ribosomal RNA, 779 nt
Filed under: Flavobacteriaceae bacterium
Lineage: Bacteria; Pseudomonadati; Bacteroidota; Flavobacteriia; Flavobacteriales; Flavobacteriaceae
Description: bacterial SSU rRNA
Rfam family: Bacterial small subunit ribosomal RNA
Source: RNAcentral